RNAcentral lists this small RNA (27 nucleotides) under Bombyx mori (domestic silkworm). RNAcentral's name for it is "ovarian small RNA-23180". Lineage: Eukaryota; Metazoa; Arthropoda; Insecta; Lepidoptera; Bombycidae. The record is from RNAcentral.
UAGUUGGGGCGGAACGUCUUGUAGUUA